UGAACGCUGGCGGCGUGCCUACUACAUGCAAGUCGAGCGAACAGACGAGGAGCUUGCUCCUCUGACGUUAGCGGCGGACGGGUGAGUAACACGUGGAUAACCUACCUAUAAGACUGGGAUAACUUCGGGAAACCGGAGCUAAUACCGGAUAAUAUAUUGAACCGCAUGGUUCAAUAGUGAAAGACGGUUUUGCUGUCACUUAUAGAUGGAUCCGCGCCGCAUUAGCUAGUUGGUAAGGUAACGGCUUACCAAGGCGACGAUGCGUAGCCGACCUGAGAGGGUGAUCGGCCACACUGGAACUGAGACACGGUCCAGACUCCUACGGGAGGCAGCAGUAGGGAAUCUUCCGCAAUGGGCGAAAGCCUGACGGAGCAACGCCGCGUGAGUGAUGAAGGUCUUCGGAUCGUAAAACUCUGUUAUUAGGGAAGAACAAAUGUGUAAGUAACUAUGCACGUCUUGACGGUACCUAAUCAGAAAGCCACGGCUAACUACGUG
This 495-nucleotide ribosomal RNA is filed under the name uncultured bacterium. RNAcentral's name for it is "partial 16S ribosomal RNA". It matches the Rfam family "Bacterial small subunit ribosomal RNA", at positions 30 to 507 of the family's 1533-position model. The record is from RNAcentral.